CCUACGGGAGGCAGCAGUGAGGAAUAUUGGUCAAUGGGCGGGAGCCUGAACCAGCCAAGUCGCGUGAGGGAAGACGGUCCUAUGGAUUGUAAACCUCUUUAGGCGGGGAGCAAUGCCGGGCACGCGUGCCCGGAGGGAGAGUACCCGCAGAAUAAGCAUCGGCUAACUCCGUGCCAGCAGCCGCGGUAAUACGGAGGAUGCGAGCGUUAUCCGGAUUGAUUGGGUUUAAAGGGUGCGUAGGCGGAUUUUUAAGUCAGCGGUAAAAUGUCCGGGCUCAACCCGGGCCGGCCGUUGAAACGGGGGAUCUUGAGUGGGCGAGAAGUAUGCGGAAUGCGUGGUGUAGCGGUGAAAUGCAUAGAUAUCACGCAGAACUCCGAUUGCGAAGGCAGCAUACCGGCGCCCGACUGAAGCUGAGGCACGAAAGCGUGGGGAUCGAACAGGAUUAGAUACCCCUAGUAGUC
Molecule: ribosomal RNA, 461 nt
Filed under: uncultured bacterium
Lineage: Bacteria
Description: partial 16S ribosomal RNA
Rfam family: Bacterial small subunit ribosomal RNA
Source: RNAcentral